Molecule: ribosomal RNA, 207 nt
Filed under: uncultured bacterium
Lineage: Bacteria
Description: partial 16S ribosomal RNA
Rfam family: Bacterial small subunit ribosomal RNA
Source: RNAcentral
CGUCUAGGCGGGGAAUUAAGUUAGGUGUGAAAUCCAUGGGCUCAACUCGUGAAUUGCAUCUAAAACUGGUUCUCUUGAGUCCGGGAGAGGAGAGCAGAAUUCCUGGUGUAGCGGUGAAAUGCGUAGAUAUCAGGAGGAAUACCAGUGGCGAAGGCGGCUCUCUGGCCUAGGACUGACGCUGAAGCGCGAAAGCGUAGGGAGCGAACG